GACGAACGCUGGCGGCGUGCUUAACACAUGCAAGUCGAACGGAAAGGCCCUGCUUUUGUGGGGUGCUCGAGUGGCGAACGGGGGAGUAACACGUGAGUAACCUGCCCUUGACUUUGGGAUAACUUCAGGAAACUGGGGCUAAUACCGGAGAGGAGCUCCUGCUGCAUGGUGGGGGUUGGAAAGUUUCGGCGGUUGGGGAUGGACUCGCGGCUUAUCAGCUGGUUGGUGGGGUAGGGGCUGACCAAGGUUUUGACGGGUAGCCGGCCUGGGAGGGUGGACGGCGACCUUGGGACUGAGGGAGGGCCCAGUCUCCUACGUGAGGCAGCAGUGGGGAGUAUUGCACAAUGGGGGGACGUCUGAUGCAGAAACGCCGCGUGCGGGAUGACGGCCUUCGGGUUGUAAACAGCUUUCGCCUGUGACGAAGCGUGAGUGACGGUAAUGGGUAAAGAAGCACCGGCUAACUACGUG
Molecule: ribosomal RNA, 468 nt
Filed under: uncultured bacterium
Lineage: Bacteria
Description: partial 16S ribosomal RNA
Rfam family: Bacterial small subunit ribosomal RNA
Source: RNAcentral